Molecule: long non-coding RNA, 675 nt
Organism: Mizuhopecten yessoensis (Yesso scallop)
Lineage: Eukaryota; Metazoa; Mollusca; Bivalvia; Pectinida; Pectinidae
Exons: 2
Source: RefSeq, a predicted model, not a curated record
CUCCAGUUCCGCCAAAAUACUGCAGCAACUUGAAACACCGGUAGUGACAAAUGCUCAGUGCGAGGCCAGCCUCAGCCCCUAUACCGUCUCGGACGAUAUGAUUUGUACCGACUCGGAACCGAAGGGGUCUUGUUAUGGUGACAGCGGCGGUCCUCUGCAGUGCUUUGUAAAUGGGAGCUGGAUGCAGGCGGGAGUUGUUUCAUGGGGUAACGAAAACUGCAGGAAAGGAGCCUCCGUCUAUAGCAGGACCUCUUACCAUAGGGAUUGGAUCAUCGCUAACAUGUAGACAAUCCAUUAGUACAUUGUACCAUUACCGUGUUACAAAAUAAACACAAAUCAUAACUACAGCCACACAGAGACCAUGCUACAUCACUGAUCCUCGACUACAUCGGCUGACCUUCGUAACGCUACAGUAUUGACACCACGAUGAAAUAUAUUUCAUGUUGACAACACUAUUUGUGAUACAGGAAGAAAUAAUAUGAACAUUUUAGGAAGUAACAAUAAUGCCGAUAUCAUAUAAGCUAGGUGCCUCCAGACAGCACUAUUACUGGCUGACGUGAACUUCAUUGGUGUUGAUAUAUUAUUUAUGUAGCUAAUUGACAAAUUUUGUAGAGACAUGAUUAUAUUUUAUAUACAUAUCAUAUACAUAAUAAUAUAUAAACAGUAUUUUUCCUA